This 69-nucleotide transfer RNA is filed under the name Marmota monax (woodchuck). Its description in RNAcentral is "tRNA.Ala". The record is from RNAcentral. Lineage: Eukaryota; Metazoa; Chordata; Mammalia; Rodentia; Sciuridae.
GGAUUGUAGCUCAGUUUGUAGAGUGUUUGCCUUGCAUGUGUGAGACACUGGGUUCAAUCCUCAGCACCA